GACGAACGCUGGCGGCGUGCUUAACACAUGCAAGUCGAGCGGUAAGGCCCUUUCGGGGGUGCACGAGCGGCGAACGGGUGAGUAACACGUGGGUGACCUGCCCUCAGCUCUGGGAUAAGCCUGGGAAACCGGGUCUAAUACUGGAUAUGACUCAUGACGCAUGUUGUGGGGUGGAAAGCCUUGUGCGGCUGAGGAUGGGCCCGCGGCCUAUCAGCUUGUUGGUGGGGUGAUGGCCUACCAAGGCGACGACGGGUAGCCGGCCUGAGAGGGCGACCGGCCACACUGGGACUGAGACACGGCCCAGACUCCUACGGGAGGCAGCAGUGGGGAAUCUUGCGCAAUGGGCGAAAGCCUGACGCAGCGACGCCGCGUGAGGGA
Molecule: ribosomal RNA, 378 nt
Filed under: uncultured bacterium
Lineage: Bacteria
Description: bacterial SSU rRNA
Rfam family: Bacterial small subunit ribosomal RNA
Source: RNAcentral